ACCGAAUCCAUCAAUUUCAAAUUAUCUCCCAAAUUUCCAUAAGAUCAAAUCAAAAUAGAAGAAACUCAUUUGGUCUUUACCGAAUCCAUCAAUUUCAAAUUAUCUCCCAAAUUUCCAUAAGAUCAAAUCAAAAUAGAAGAAACUCAUUUGGUCUUUACAUAUUGUGUAGUUACAAUUUGAACUUCCUAGGUGAGAUCCAAAACUCAAUUCCAAACUAAAGGCGAGCAUAUAAAUUCAGAAGAAAAAAUCAUGGGAGGGACAUCCAUAUGCACGUACACACAAUUACACUGUAAAAAACCUCCCGACAUAUCUCAUCUCCAUAUUUUUUACCAGCAAAAUCCAUAACAAAACCUGUAAAUUCACAACCAAACUCACUGUCAACACAAAACCAUAGCAACAACAUCACUUUAUCACAUCCAACAACAAAAACAGAGUAGAACCAAAGUCGAAGCUAACCAAUUCAGAACCAAUACACCCAGUUGAAAACCGAAAUAACACUGAGUCGAAACCGCUACCAAACCAAUAUUAAACCUAUUCAAAACGGCACCUAUAGGAAACCAAAAGAUACCUCUGAAUUUUUUUCAAAAACACAAACCUAACUCAAAAUGAAAUCCACAGAACAACACUGAGUUGAGUCAAAAACCCAACAUCAACAACAUAAAGAACCUGCAAAAACAAUUACAUCACCAUUUCACUCAAAUGGAAACAAAACCAAAACAUAUCACAACAUCAACCAAAACAUUCACAAUCAUCACAGACCUACUAGCCUACAUAACAACAACAAAUUCGAUUCGAAUAUAACAACAACACCGAUAGUAAGCUAAGAUCAAAGACAGAAAAAUUGGGAAUAACAAACCGAAACCGCGCCGGAAUCAUACGUGAACCGCCGCUCGGACCACCACAUCACCCCUCAGCCGCGUCAACCGCGAGCUCCUCUCCUCUGUUGCCGGAAGACGACGAACACCACCGCAAGGAACCACGCCUCCCCACGAAUCCACGUGUCCAUCCCGGCGUCUGCACCCCUCCAUCUCCAAUCCGAUCGCGAUAACCACUGCACCGACUUUUUUGUUUUCCCCUUUGUCUCAAUGAUGUCUUUUGUUCAUGUUUGCAGGAUGCUUCUUGUUGAGUGAGGGACUUGAUUUGGGUUUGAAGAAAGAAAAAAGUUUGAGAGAAGAUUAAUUUUUUGCUGUUAUAAAGAAAGAAAUGGAAAAACGAUAGGGGGAGAACGAGAUACUUGCUGGGUAUUUGGUUUCUUUUUUUAUAUCCAAGCUCAUUUGCCACGUGUCGCAAGGUUGUUGGCCUUUUCUGCCAACACAUGGGGCGCCCCUCCCCCUUAAUUUUCAGCAGGUUCCCUUUGUUUUUACACAUUUUUUUUAUUUCAUUUAUUUUUAAUUUAAAAUUAGGGUUAUUCACGGGCUUUAAAGCCAUUAGGUUUUAUUAGAUUUCAUUAGGACCCCGCAUCGAACUGAUGCACCCUUCUUUAACUCUUCCCGUAUGUUUGUUUUAGAAUCUUAUUCUUAAUAUUAUUUAGAAUAAUAUUUAUAUGCGAGUGUUUGGUAAAAACUAAAUUUUCUAUGAAUUUUUAUAAUAUUUAUUGAAUUUAAAAAUUAUAAAAAAUAAAAUAAAUAAAUAAAUAUGAGUAGUAGUGGAGAGUUGUAGUUAGUUGAAUUUUAUUCCCAUGGGAAUGAUGGAUUCCCACCCUUUAAACUUUUGAAUAAAAAUAAAAGAACCAUAUAUAAAUAAAGUUCAUGGGAAUAAAAUAUAUCAUGGAAUAAUUUUUUAAAAAUUGAAUCAAACAUGGGAAUGUUGCAUUCCCAUGACAAUAUUCCCAGGAAUAUUUUUUAAAACCUUGAAACAAACACACCCUUAAUC
This 1872-nucleotide long non-coding RNA is filed under the name Lathyrus oleraceus (garden pea). Its description in RNAcentral is "Pisum sativum (pea) long non-coding RNA (PSAT_LNC042117)". Lineage: Eukaryota; Viridiplantae; Streptophyta; Magnoliopsida; Fabales; Fabaceae. The record is from RNAcentral.